This 494-nucleotide ribosomal RNA is filed under the name uncultured bacterium. RNAcentral's name for it is "partial 16S ribosomal RNA". It matches the Rfam family "Bacterial small subunit ribosomal RNA", at positions 28 to 507 of the family's 1533-position model. The record is from RNAcentral.
GACGAACGCUGGCGGCGUGCUUAACACAUGCAAGUCGAACGGAAAGGCCUGCUUUCCCUUGUGGAUUGCGGGUACUCGAGUGGCGAACGGGUGAGUAACACGUGAGUGAUCUGCCCCCAACUUGGGUAUAAGCCUGGGAAACUGGGUCUAAUUCCCGAUAGGACUGCAGGGUGGUGCCUGUGGUGGAAAACGAUUUUCUAGUGGUUGGGGAUGAGCUCGCGGCCUAUCAGCUUGUUGGUGGGGUAAUGGCCUACCAAGGCGGCGACGGGUAGCCGGCCUGAGAGGGUGGACGGCCACAUUGGGACUGAGAUACGGCCCAGACUCCUACGGGAGGCAGCAGUGGGGAAUAUUGCACAAUGGGCGGAAGCCUGAUGCAGCGACGCCGCGUGGGGGAUGACGGCCUUCGGGUUGUAAACUCCUUUCGACCGCGAGGAAGCCACCUGGUUGGAAGGGUGGUGACGGUAGUGGUAGAAGAAGCAACGGCUAACUACGUG